RNAcentral lists this ribosomal RNA (253 nucleotides) under uncultured bacterium. RNAcentral's name for it is "partial 16S ribosomal RNA". It matches the Rfam family "Bacterial small subunit ribosomal RNA", at positions 524 to 776 of the family's 1533-position model. The record is from RNAcentral.
UACGAAGGGGGCAAGCGUUGUUCGGAAUUAUUGGGCGUAGAGGGCGCGUAGGCGGACCUGUAAGUCGGUUGUGAAAUCCCUGGGCUUAACCCGGGAACUGCAGUCGAAACUGCAAGUCUUGAAUGCUCGAGAGGAUGGUAGAAUUCCUGGUGUAGAGGCGAAAUUCGUAGAUGUCAGGAGGAAUACCGGAGGCGAAAGCGGCCAUCUGGCGAGACAUUGACGCUGAGGCGCGAAAGCGUGGGGAUCAAACAGG